Molecule: non-coding RNA, 104 nt
Organism: Acanthosepion pharaonis
Lineage: Eukaryota; Metazoa; Mollusca; Cephalopoda; Sepiida; Sepiidae
Source: the annotation of a GenBank genome assembly
UUAUGGCCACAUCAUGUUGAAACACCGGUUCCUAUAUGAGCACCGAAGUUAAGCAACGUUGAGCUUGGUCGGUACCUAAAUGGGUAAUCGCUUGGGAAUACCAG